Molecule: non-coding RNA, 67 nt
Filed under: Saccharothrix sp. ALI-22-I
Lineage: Bacteria; Bacillati; Actinomycetota; Actinomycetes; Pseudonocardiales; Pseudonocardiaceae
Source: RNAcentral
CGGCGAAACCGUCCGGUGUGGACGGUCCCGAGGGCUGGCAUCCCUCGGCUGAUGAUGCCUGCCAAGA